AAGAGUAAAGUACUUCCGCUUCCUUAGGUGGAGCUGGAAAGGUGGAGGCGGAAGUGACUGAUCAAUUCAGGGGCGUGGGGUUCGUUUAGGUUUUGCCCUGUGUAUGACCUCGUUUGGAGCCAUGAAACCAGAGUUUCGCUCUUUUUGACCAAGCUGGAGUGCAAUGGCGUGAUCUCGGCUCGCUGCAAUCUCUGCCUUCCAGGUUCAAGUGAUUCUCCUGCCUCAGCCUUCUGAGUAGUUGGGAUUACAGGAAGCUCUUCCACGAGUUCACGAAUGGAAAUAACAUCAAGAGUUUUUCAUCUUCUUAGUGUGCAAGAACACAGCAUAGUAUGUGACAUAAAGGCUUGAUGACUGUGUUGAAUGAAUGUAUGUUGUUAUUUUAGGGCAAUGAUGGAAAGCACCAAGUGGAGUCUGGAGCUAGACUGAUCUGUGUUCAAUCCUGUCUUGGUUACUCAUUGGGGGGCCUCGACUUUCAUGUCUCUGUAAUGUCCCUGACAGUAUCUGCCUCACAGGGUUGCUGUGAGAGUCAAGCGAGAUGUCUGAGGAAUAGUCUUAGUGGAUUAUCCCAAACUUGACACAUUUUUUGCAAAAUGCUAUACAAAAAGAAGAUACAUGCGAUUAUGACAAGAUUCUCCACUUGGUGUGACCAGUCUCAUACAACCCAAGGCUGUGUGUCCAAAGGCAACUGUACUGAAUACCGGAAAGCAUGUAUUUGUUUGCUAAAUUGCUCUCUUUCCACCAGUGAUAUCAAUUCUGAAAUACUUUUGAGAUCUUGACAAUAAUCAAAAGGUAGCCAGGUGCAUCGGGGAAAGCACUGACAUUGGAGUCAGACAGACUGAAGUUCAUAUCUGAUUCUGCUAUAUGACAACGUGUGGGCUAUGUGGCUAACUUCUCAGAGCUUCAGUUUUCUCAAGGGCAAAAUGAAAAUAAUAGAAAUAAUAGAAUCCACCUCACAGGGCUGUGGUGAGAAUUGGAGAUGAAGCACAUACAGCAUAUUACAUCAACUAAACACAUGCUAAAAAUUAAAGGGGAUGAAAGAUACAUUGGUCCCUGCAGUGGGAAGUUUCCUUGACAAUGCAAUUAUUGAUUCCAGAAGGCUGAACAAAUGUUGACAGAGGAACACACUGUUUGCUUAUGUCUAAUCUUCCCAUCUGACUUAUAUAAAUGUCACAAAUGAAUCUCAGACAUGUGCCCAAUAUCAAAUAUCCAUACGAUGGCCCUGGAAAGAGGCAAUCUACAUUUAUGGCUGAUGAGAAGAUGGAUUUUUAGCUUGAAAGAAACUUAUUACUGGGGAGAGGAAGUAUAAAUGAAUGGAGAGAGCUAUGAAGAGGUUGAGAGAAUACAGCCAAGGCACAUGACAGAAUUGCUCUGUUGAAGUUUUGCAAGGUCAAAUGACUCACUUUGUCUAAUGGAACGGGAACGAACAAUUUUUUUGUGUCACGUUUGAACAGAUACCUUUGAGAAGUUUAUGAUUCUCCAAGUUCUCUUUCUCCUACUGUGGCACCUACUGACAAGAUAAAUGUGUAGAGGUUCCUGAGUCUAGGGGUGAGUCUUGCAUAUCUGAUGAAUCCACCAGUAAAAGUACCACUGCUGAAAUCACGCAAAUAUAUUUUUUUAGACCUUAUCAACCUUGGCAUGGAAUUAGAUGAGCAAAAAGCUGAGUUGAAUUGAUGAAAAGAAUCCCAAGUCAUUAAUUACUAAUGAUGGAGCUUGUAAAGUACAGCAUCACUGGGGAAAGCAACUGACUUUCCUCAUACACAUUAUAUUUUUAUCUGAAUUUCAAUACUGCUUAAAUAUGUACUUCAUUACAGGGCACAACUAAAAUAGAAGGGCACCUGCUAAGUCAGAGCCAUAAAACAGAUCUACAGCCUGCUGGCAUGUGAAAUUUCUCUAAUUUAUAUUUUUUAUGAAACUACCCUCACAUUAUGUGGUUGGCAGCAUAAAUAAUAAAGCAUGUUACUGAAGCAAUUUUACAUUUACUGUAUUAGUAAGUAAAUGCAAUGGCCACUCUUAUUCUCAAAUAAAAACUACCCAGCCUUUUCAUGAAAGAUGUUUGCAAUUUCCAUUGGCCUGUAUAUGCAAUAAAAAGCCAUAACUCAUCAAAA
This 2105-nucleotide long non-coding RNA is filed under the name Homo sapiens (human). RNAcentral's name for it is "PREDICTED lncRNA (TCONS_00005028)". Lineage: Eukaryota; Metazoa; Chordata; Mammalia; Primates; Hominidae. The record is from RNAcentral.